This 270-nucleotide ribosomal RNA is filed under the name uncultured bacterium. RNAcentral describes it as "partial 16S ribosomal RNA". It matches the Rfam family "Bacterial small subunit ribosomal RNA", at positions 524 to 792 of the family's 1533-position model. The record is from RNAcentral.
GACGGAGGGGGCAAGCGUUGUUCGGAAUUAUUGGGCGUAAAGGGCUCGUAGGCGGAUCUGUAAGUCUGACGUGAAAUCUCCACUGCUCAACAGGGAGAGGUCGCUGGAUACUGCAGAUCUGGAGUUCGGCAGAGGACCAUGGAAUUCCAGGUGUAGCGGUGGAAUGCGUAGAUAUCUGGAAGAACACCGGUGGCGAAGGCGGUGGUCUGGGCCUGAACUGACGCUGAGGAGCGAAAGCCAGGGGAGCAAACGGGAUUAGAAACCCCCGUA